Molecule: ribosomal RNA, 492 nt
Filed under: uncultured bacterium
Lineage: Bacteria
Description: partial 16S ribosomal RNA
Rfam family: Bacterial small subunit ribosomal RNA
Source: RNAcentral
AGUGAACGCUGGCGGUAGGCCUAACACAUGCAAGUCGAACGGCAGCACAGUAAGAUCUUGCUCUUACGGGUUGCGAGUGGCGGACGUGUGAGGAAUAUAUCGGAAUCUACUUUUUCGGGUGGGAUAACGUAGGUGAACUUACGCUCAUACCGCAUACGACCUACGGGGGAAAGCAGUGGAUCUUCGGACCUUGCGCGAUUGAAUGAGCCGAUGUCGGAUUAGCUAGUUGGGGGGGUAAAGGCCCACCAAGGCGAGGAUCCGUAGCUGGUCUGAGGGGAUGGUCAGCCACACUGGAACUGAGACACGGUCAAGACUCCUAAGGGAGGCAGAAGUGGGGAAUAUUGGACAAUGGGCGCAAGCCUGAUCCAGCCAUACCGCGUGGGUGAAGAAGGCCUUCGGGUUGUAAAGCCCUUUUGUUGGGAAAGAAAAGCAGCAGGUUAAUACCCCGCUGUUCUGACGGUACCCAAAGAAUAAGCACCGGCUAACUUCGUG